RNAcentral lists this ribosomal RNA (459 nucleotides) under uncultured Lysinibacillus sp. RNAcentral describes it as "partial 16S ribosomal RNA". It matches the Rfam family "Bacterial small subunit ribosomal RNA", at positions 341 to 792 of the family's 1533-position model. The record is from RNAcentral. Lineage: Bacteria; Bacillati; Bacillota; Bacilli; Caryophanales; Bacillaceae.
ACGGAAGGCAGCAGUAGGGAAUCUUCCACAAUGGACGAAAGUCUGAUGGAGCAAUGCCGCGUGAGUGAAGAAGGUUUUCGGAUCGUAAAACUCUGUUGUAAGGGAAGAACAAGUACAGUAGUAACUGGCUGUACCUUGACGGUACCUUAUUAGAAAGCCACGGCUAACUACGUGCCAGCAGCCGCGGUAAUACGUAGGUGGCAAGCGUUGUCCGGAAUUAUUGGGCGUAAAGCGCGCGCAGGUGGUUUCUUAAGUCUGAUGGGAAAGCCCACGGCUCAACCGUGGAGGGUCAUUGGAAACUGGGAAACUUGAGUGCAGAAGAGGAUAGUGGAAUUCCAAGUGUAGCGGUGAAAUGCGUAGAGAUUUGGAGGAACACCAGUGGCGAAGGCGACUAUCUGGUCUGUAACUGACACUGAGGCGCGAAAGCGUGGGGAGCAAACAGGAUUAGAUACCCUGGUA